GUUUUGCGUGAGUGAUAGAAGUGGAGCUCUUUUUUUAGAGGCUGAAAAAGCCUUUAAAAAAAAGUGGGAACGGAUAGCACGACCCGUA
Molecule: small RNA, 88 nt
Filed under: Flavobacterium micromati
Lineage: Bacteria; Pseudomonadati; Bacteroidota; Flavobacteriia; Flavobacteriales; Flavobacteriaceae
Description: Flavo-1 RNA
Rfam family: Flavo-1 RNA
Source: Rfam by way of RNAcentral